GACGAACGCUGGCGGCGUGCUUAACACAUGCAAGUCGAACGUGAUUUUUGUGGAAAUUCUUUCGGGAAUGGAAAUGAAAUGAAAGUGGCGAACGGGUGAGUAACACGUGAGCAACCUACCUUACACAGGGGGAUAGCCGUUGGAAACGACGAUUAAUACCGCAUGAGACCACAGAAUCGCAUGAUAUAGGGGUCAAAGAUUUAUCGGUGUAAGAAGGGCUCGCGUCUGAUUAGCUAGUUGGAAGGGUAAAGGCCUACCAAGGCGACGAUCAGUAGCCGGUCUGAGAGGAUGAACGGCCACAUUGGAACUGAGACACGGUCCAAACUCCUACGGGAGGCAGCAGUGGGGAAUAUUGCACAAUGGGGGGAACCCUGAUGCAGCGACGCCGCGUGAGCGAAGAAGGUUUUCGAAUCGUAAAGCUCUGUCCUAUGAGAAGAUAAUGACGGUGUCAUAGGAGGAAGCCCCGGCUAAAUACGUG
This 478-nucleotide ribosomal RNA is filed under the name uncultured bacterium. Its description in RNAcentral is "partial 16S ribosomal RNA". It matches the Rfam family "Bacterial small subunit ribosomal RNA", at positions 28 to 507 of the family's 1533-position model. The record is from RNAcentral.